UACGUAGGGUGCAAGCGUUAAUCGGAAUUACUGGGCGUAAAGCGUGCGCAGGCGGGUUUGUAAGUCAGAUGUGAAAUCCCCGGGCUUAACCUGGGAACUGCGUUUGAAACUACAAGGCUAGAGUGUGACAGAGGGGGGUGGAAUUCCACGUGUAGCAGUGAAAUGCGUAGAGAUGUGGAGGAACACCGAUGGCGAAGGCAGCCCCCUGGGUUAACACUGACGCUCAGGCACGAAAGCGUGGGGAGCAAACAGG
RNAcentral lists this ribosomal RNA (253 nucleotides) under uncultured bacterium. RNAcentral describes it as "partial 16S ribosomal RNA". It matches the Rfam family "Bacterial small subunit ribosomal RNA", at positions 524 to 776 of the family's 1533-position model. The record is from RNAcentral.